GGGGAAUAUUGCGCAAUGGGGGCAACCCUGACGCAGCCAUGCCGCGUGAAUGAAGAAGGCCUUCGGGUUGUAAAGUUCUUUCGGUAGCGAGGAAGGCACUUAGUUUAAUAAACUAGGUGAUUGACGUUAACUACAGAAGAAGCACCGGCUAACUCCGUGCCAGCAGCCGCGGUAAUACGGAGGGUGCGAGCGUUAAUCGGAAUAACUGGGCGUAAAGGGCACGCAGGCGGUGACUUAAGUGAGGUGUGAAAGCCCCGGGCUUAACCUGGGAAUUGCAUUUCAUACUGGGUCGCUAGAGUACUUUAGGGAGGGGUAGAAUUCCACGUGUAGCGGUGAAAUGCGUAGAGAUGUGGAGGAAUACCGAAGGCGAAGGCAGCCCCUUGGGAAUGUACUGACGCUCAUGUGCGAAAGCGUGGGGAGCAAACAGGAUUAGAUACCCUGGUAGUCCACGCUGUAAACGAUGUCGAUUUGGGGGUUGAGCUUUAAGUUUGGCGCCCGUAGCUAACGUGAUAAAUCGACCGCCUGGGGAGUACGGCCGCAAGGUUA
RNAcentral lists this ribosomal RNA (546 nucleotides) under uncultured bacterium. Its description in RNAcentral is "bacterial SSU rRNA". It matches the Rfam family "Bacterial small subunit ribosomal RNA", at positions 356 to 896 of the family's 1533-position model. The record is from RNAcentral.